CUCCAUCCUGACCACGACCUCUAACUGGGGGAAUCUAGGUAGAUCUCAAUCCUGAUCACACCCCCAGCCCUGGGGGUGGAAUUCUAGGCAGGGCUCCACCCUGGUCAUGCCCUUAUCCCCCCCCCAAUUGUUUAGACACUCCUACUAUUUAGUUCAGGCUACCCUUUUAAGUCAUAAUCCUCCUGCCUCAGCUCUAGCUGACUCACCCAGUGUAAUGGGCUUGCUGUCCUCCUGGUCUGAGCCCACUCCUGUCCGGGGACUGCUGCUCUGCUCCGCAUCUGCCAAAAGAGAAAGGGACAAUUAUUGACACGGCAGGGACCUCUGAUCCUAGCUCUGCCAUUUCUGUGCUGUGUGGCCUUCGCGAAUCUGCAGGAGUCACAGCAUGAAUGGACUGGAGGUGGAUGUCACAGGCAGACAGUGACACAAACGACCACCCUCGACCCACCCACAGAAGCUAACGUCAGCCUGGCAGUGCUGUGUCACUUCGCGGAGAGCACUUGACAGUGCUUAAAACACCCGCCAAUCCACUGUUGCAUAAAUAAAAGAGGGGGCCAAACAGAUG
RNAcentral lists this long non-coding RNA (562 nucleotides) under Rattus norvegicus (Norway rat). RNAcentral's name for it is "long non-coding RNA NONRATT026430". Lineage: Eukaryota; Metazoa; Chordata; Mammalia; Rodentia; Muridae. The record is from RNAcentral.